This is a non-coding RNA of Ceratobasidium sp. AG-I, 107 nucleotides long. The record is from the annotation of a GenBank genome assembly. Lineage: Eukaryota; Fungi; Basidiomycota; Agaricomycetes; Cantharellales; Ceratobasidiaceae.
GCCCGGCUAGCUCAAUCGGUAGAGCGUGAGACUUUUACAAAUGCAUGAUUAUACAAUGCAGGAGUCACGUGAUCUCAAGGCUGCGGGUUCGAGCCCCGCGUUGGGCU